CAGAAUGACAGAAGAUCUGUAUUGGGUUCUGCGUUGGAUAGUUACUGCCUCUUCACCUCACUUGUCUUCACUAUCAACUUCCAUAACCAGUGAAAAAUAAUGAAAUAAUGGCGAUCAACCCUCUUCUGCUCUUGGCAUCUCAGCUUUUCCCAAGCCUUAACUCUCCACCUCAACUGAGCUUGCUUUCUGCCUUUGAAGAUUAUCUGUUGGGCUUCCAUGAUAAAUAGUCAAGAAAAGUGGAGGGAGAGUAAGAAAAAGCUUGUGGGAUGCACCAAGCAAGGAAUUUGGGGAAAAGUGGUGACAGUGUGUGUGAAAAGUUGCAAAAACAAGAUGCAACAGGAAUGGAACAGAGUGAAAAAAGAUACUCUGAAGAUAAGUAGAAGGAUGCUUUCCUGUGGAGAGUGAUUCAACUUGAUGUGCCCAGAGCCUAAAUAACUUCAGAUGUGGACCCCAACU
Pongo pygmaeus (Bornean orangutan) is the source of this 456-nucleotide long non-coding RNA. RefSeq lists it as uncharacterized. Lineage: Eukaryota; Metazoa; Chordata; Mammalia; Primates; Hominidae. The record is from RefSeq and is a predicted model, not a curated record. The transcript has 3 exons.